GACGAACGCUGGCGGCGUGCUUAACACAUGCAAGUCGAACGGAAAGGCCCCUUUGGGGGUACUCGAGUGGCGAACGGGUGAGUAACACGUGAGUAACCUGCCCUUGACUUCGGGAUAACUUCAGGAAACUGGGGCUAAUACCGGAUAGGAAUCCUUGCUGCAUGGUGGGGGUUGGAAAGCUUCGGCGGUUUUGGAUGGACUCGCGGCUUAUCAGCUUGUUGGUGGGGUAGUGGCUUACCAAGGCUUUGACGGGUAGCCGGCCUGAGAGGGCGACCGGCCACAUUGGGCUUCAGAUACGGCCCAGACUCCUACGGGAGGCAGUAGUGGGGAAUAUUGCACAAUGGGCGGAAGCCAGAUGCAGCAAGGCCGCGUGCGGGAUGACGGCCUUCGGGUUGUAAACCGCUUUAAGCAGGGGCGAAGCUUGUGGUGACGGUACCUGCAGAAGAAGCACCGGCUAACUACGUG
This 465-nucleotide ribosomal RNA is filed under the name uncultured bacterium. RNAcentral describes it as "partial 16S ribosomal RNA". It matches the Rfam family "Bacterial small subunit ribosomal RNA", at positions 28 to 507 of the family's 1533-position model. The record is from RNAcentral.